AGCUCGGGUGCCAUUCUUUUUCUGCGCACUUCCUCCUCUAACCUACGAGCAGACUUUUUUCUCUGCGAUAGCUUCAAUUUGGAAGCCAUUUUGGAUAAGAGAGACUUACAAACAGUUUAGAAGAUCUAAUGAAAGGUAGAGUGGAAAGAAUUUUAGAGGAAAGAACAAGAAUUUUGAGGAGAUAGACUGUCGGUUUGGAGAAGAGGGUUUGAAGCUAGGGUAAGCUUGA
This 229-nucleotide long non-coding RNA is filed under the name Elaeis guineensis (African oil palm). RNAcentral describes it as "long non-coding RNA (EGUI_LNC074908)". The record is from RNAcentral. Lineage: Eukaryota; Viridiplantae; Streptophyta; Magnoliopsida; Arecales; Arecaceae.